This 28-nucleotide non-coding RNA is filed under the name Mus musculus (house mouse). The record is from RNAcentral. Lineage: Eukaryota; Metazoa; Chordata; Mammalia; Rodentia; Muridae.
UCUGUUUAGGAGCUUGAGGACACUCUGA